RNAcentral lists this ribosomal RNA (253 nucleotides) under uncultured bacterium. RNAcentral describes it as "partial 16S ribosomal RNA". It matches the Rfam family "Bacterial small subunit ribosomal RNA", at positions 524 to 776 of the family's 1533-position model. The record is from RNAcentral.
UACGUAGGGUCCGAGCGUUGUCCGGAAUUAUUGGGCGUACAGGGCUCGUAGGCGGUCUGUUGCGUCGGGAGUGAAAACUUACAGCUUAACUGUGAGCGUGCUUCCGAUACGGGCAGACUUGAGGUAUUCAGGGGAGAACGGAAUUCCUGGUGUAGCGGUGAAAUGCGCAGAUAUCAGGAGGAACACCGAUUGCGAAGGCAGCUCGCUGGAACGUAACUGACGCUGAGACGCGAAAGCGUGGGGAGCAAACAGG